This 427-nucleotide ribosomal RNA is filed under the name uncultured bacterium. Its description in RNAcentral is "bacterial SSU rRNA". It matches the Rfam family "Bacterial small subunit ribosomal RNA", at positions 355 to 774 of the family's 1533-position model. The record is from RNAcentral.
UGGGGAAUUUUGGACAAUGGGCGCAAGCCUGAUCCAGCAAUGCCGCGUGCAGGAUGAAGGCCUUCGGGUUGUAAACUGCUUUUGUACGGAACGAAACGGCUCUGUCUAAUACAUGGGGCUAAUGACGGUACCGUAAGAAUAAGCACCGGCUAACUACGUGCCAGCAGCCGCGGUAAUACGUAGGGUGCGAACGGUAAUCGGAAUUACUGGGCGUAAAGCGUGCGCAGGCGGUUAUAUAAGACAGAUGGGAAAUCCCCGGGCUCAACCUGGGAACUGCAUUUGUGACUGUAUAGCUAGAGUACGGCAGAGAGGGAUGGAAUUCCGCGUGUAGCAGUGAGAUGCGUAGAUAUGCGGAGGAACACCGAUGGCGAAGGCAAUCCCCUGGGCCUGUACUGACGCUCAUGCACGAAAGCGUGGGGAGCAAACA